UUUUUCUUUUCUUUUCUUUUUUUUUAAAGCUGGCAUUCAACCAUUCCUGUGGCACCCAUCACUGCUGAUGUGUUUACUUUAAGCUGUUUUCCUUCAUUCGAAUCAGUUAAGCAUGGUCCGAGGUGGGGCUGGAGAACCACAACCCAGCAGAGCACCUGUCCACGUGAUGAAAGUUCUGGCAGCCUCUGCCAGAGGCUCUGUGUGGCCGCUACUUUCUCUGAAGGCGGAGCAUGAAGGGGCCGCGUGAAGAGAACUGACAUAGCAGUAGGAGGAGCAGCAGUUCAGCCCCUCCACCUUUGAACUUUGUGUGCACCUGUGACAGGGGAUAGGCUUCUUUUACGUGGCACUCUGGUGGGUGCUUCUCUAGAUAGGGGCAAAUGAGAGCCUCCAGGAAGGAAGAUGCCUCAGCUCCACGAGGCAGCAGCUGGAUUUACUUAAAUGGCUAGGAAGAGGGGCUGAGACCAGGCUGGGUGCAGCAAGAGUUCUGGACAGAACUGUGUCCUCUUCAUCUGUGGGGUACACUUGGGCCAGAGGAAGUCAGAGCCUAGAAUCAGAACCGCAGGCAUCCCGAGUUUACAAUGCAGGAUGGCGUCCCAGCUGCAGCUGUCACAACAUCUGGAGCCCUGCAGAAAAUAAGUCUGAAGUCCAGAAGUUCAAAUUCGGCAAAGGACUCCAUGAUCACCAGGGACCCAAUCUCCUAUUUUGAUGUUCCAGCAAGCUCAUGGUCUAAUGAAGGCUGCCCAACCUCCAGCCAUUAUGUCUACAUCCCAAGCAGUGGAAAUAGGAGCAGUGCCUCUCCUAGAGUCAUGUUCUGUCAGGUAAGCCUCUCGUACAUUUCAUACUGUAAUGUGUAUCCAGAGCUUCUUCACCCUCCUCAUUUAGCUGCAAGGGCACCUAAGAAACGUAGACUUCCAGCUGAACGUUUCACUGUGCUAAGAAAAUUCAGGGCUCAGUUGUUGGGUAGGAGUGGCGAGCAAAUACUGGAACUUAGCCAGAAAUGUCUGCAGGAAGGGAGGAAGAUGAGGCAGAACCUCCCUUCCCUUGGGGGACUCACAGGAAGAUGGAAGCCAAGCAAAGAGUCCCCCCACACAGGGAAAAUGACAGCAAGGGCAAGUGGGACGAGAGCCUGCCAAGCGUGUUUGGAAACGCGCUGA
RNAcentral lists this long non-coding RNA (1154 nucleotides) under Oryctolagus cuniculus (rabbit). Its description in RNAcentral is "lncRNA (ENSOCUG00000037819.1)". The record is from RNAcentral. Lineage: Eukaryota; Metazoa; Chordata; Mammalia; Lagomorpha; Leporidae.